RNAcentral lists this ribosomal RNA (492 nucleotides) under uncultured bacterium. RNAcentral describes it as "partial 16S ribosomal RNA". It matches the Rfam family "Bacterial small subunit ribosomal RNA", at positions 29 to 507 of the family's 1533-position model. The record is from RNAcentral.
AGUGAACGCUGGCGGUAGGCCUAACACAUGCAAGUCGAACGGCAGCACAGUAAGAGCUUGCUCUUACGGUUGGCGAGUGGCGGACGGGUGAGGAAUACAUCGGAAUCUACUUUUUCGUGGGGGAUAACGUAGGGAAACUUACGCUAAUACCGCAUACGACCUACGGGUGAAAUCAGGGGAUCUUCGGACCUUGCGCGUUUGAAUGAGCCGAUUUCGGAUUAGCUAGUUGGCGGGGUAAAGGCCCACCAAGGCGACGAUCCGUAGCUGGUCUGAGAGGAUGAUCAGCCACACUGGAACUGAGACACGGUCCAGACUCCUACGGGAGGCAGCAGUGGGGAAUAUUGGACAAUGGGCGCAAGCCUGAUCCAGCCAUACCGCGUGAGUGAAGAAGGCCUUCGGGUUGUAAAGCCCUUUUGUUGGGAAAGAAAAGCAGCAGGUUAAUACCCCGCUGUUCUGACGGUACCCAAAGAAUAAGCACCGGCUAACUUCGUG